GACGAACGCUGGCGGUGUGCUUAACACAUGCCAGUCGAACGGUAAGGCCCUUUCGGGGGUACACGAGUGGCGAACGGGUGAGUAACACGUGAGUAACCUGCCCUCAUCUCUGGGAUAACAGUCGGAAACGGUUGCUAAUACUGGAUAUGAGCUUGCAAGGCAUCUUGUGGGUUGGAAAGAUUUUUUUGGUUGGGGAUGGACUCGCGGCCUAUCAGCUUGUUGGUGAGGUAGUGGCUCACCAAGGCUUCGACGGGUAGCCGGCCUGAGAGGGCGACCGGCCACAUUGGGACUGAGAUACGGCCCAAACUCCUACGGGAGGCAGCAGUGGGGAAUAUUGCACAAUGGACGGAAGUCUGAUGCAGCAACGCCGCGUGCGGGAUGACGGCCUUCGGGUUGUAAACCGCUUUCAAUUGUGACGAAGCUUUUUUGUGACGGUAGCAGUAGAAGAAGCACCGGCUAACUACGUG
This 467-nucleotide ribosomal RNA is filed under the name uncultured bacterium. Its description in RNAcentral is "partial 16S ribosomal RNA". It matches the Rfam family "Bacterial small subunit ribosomal RNA", at positions 28 to 507 of the family's 1533-position model. The record is from RNAcentral.